Molecule: non-coding RNA, 1326 nt
Organism: Misgurnus anguillicaudatus (oriental weatherfish)
Lineage: Eukaryota; Metazoa; Chordata; Actinopteri; Cypriniformes; Cobitidae
Source: RefSeq, a predicted model, not a curated record
AUACAUUUUUAUAUUUUCUGGAGUGAAGUCGAUCACACACAAAAUGGCAAGCAUACUAUAAGUAGAUUAAACUGUCUUUUCAGAGGUGCAGCUCCUGCAAAGAGUAGACAAAGCAGAGAAAAUAUUGCUCAAGAAGAUAUCUCAUGUCAUCAGAGAGGCACCAGUGUUGAUUUCUGAAGGAGACAUGGAGAGAUGGAAAAAAGCUAGCCCAACAGAAACCAAUAAGUAAGGAACUGAAGUUAAAGUCUUAAAUACUACACUGUCUGUAGAUGGAAAAGGGACUUCAUCAUCAGACUGAUUCAGUUCUACAAGUUCAAAUAUUAGAAUUGAGGACUCUGCUGAACAUUGAGAAAAACUACCGUAUUGGGAGAAGAUGGCAAGAGUCUGAUUCAAACUUCCAGUCUACCCUUAAAGAUGUGGACCAUGAGCUCAGAGUCCAACUGCAAGGCUAGAACUGAAUCAAGGGAGAGAGCAGUCGUCCUCCACCAGAGAAGAAUAUAUCCAGCUUUGCUUCAGAUGGGCAGGGCAUUGCCAUUAGACUCUCCAAGCAGGUAGCCAGCUCCAACAAUAGACUGAGACAGCAUUCAAUAGUCACCGCAGAUGAGCUUCUUACCUGCGACAAUUGAUUUUCAGGAAUCAUGUGAUCCCUCUUGGCAUGUCUACUUCUGCUUUGAUAACACUAUUGAAGAAGAUGAUGUUUCGAGGAGUCUGAAGGGAUUGAUGCCUUACAUAUGAAGACUCAUGCAAAAGCUGCUCUCAUUCAACACCUCCAACACCUGGAAAGAAAACUACAUCAAGCCAUUGUGAUGUUUCACCCACAUGUAUCAGACUUUGUUCCUGCAGACAACCCCCACUUGUGUCAGGCCCUCCCCAUGCCAAGCAUACAGACACUGGUAUACAAUGAUAAGAGUGAUAAUGAUGACAAUGUGGAUAACUAGCACUACAGAUUUUUUUUAAAUUUCUAGUCUGAUAUUGUAUUCGGUAAAAAGAAUGAUGUAAAAUGUAUAGUAUAUGUUGCAGCAUAUCAUAGAAACCUUUAUGGUGGUGUAAUAUAAUGUUCGCCUUACUUGUUCAAACAUGAUGCUUUACUAGAUCUGAUUUAUUAUUAAACGUAGGUACUGUUUUUAAGCACACAUAUUCACACUAGUCUGUGUGAGGACAAAAUUGUGUGUUUACCAUUGUGAUGUUACUUACUUACAGUAAUGUACAAAUGUGGUCAAUGUGUGUAAGGUGUUUUGUUUUUGUGAGCUAAGUUGAAAUGACAAAGUAUUGAAUCUUGAAUCAUUUGAAAGAAAUACUGUAAAAGUUUGUAAAAAAUAAAAUGUU